RNAcentral lists this non-coding RNA (65 nucleotides) under Motilimonas sp. 1_MG-2023. The record is from RNAcentral. Lineage: Bacteria; Pseudomonadati; Pseudomonadota; Gammaproteobacteria; Alteromonadales.
AAGCGAAACUCCGUCCCCACGGCGUCUGACUAGCAUGGCGGCUAGGCACUGAUGAGCAGCCUACU